Serratia marcescens FGI94 is the source of this 1542-nucleotide non-coding RNA. The record is from Rfam. NCBI's taxonomy places the organism in Bacteria, Pseudomonadati, Pseudomonadota, Gammaproteobacteria, Enterobacterales, Yersiniaceae.
UAAUUGAAGAGUUUGAUCAUGGCUCAGAUUGAACGCUGGCGGCAGGCCUAACACAUGCAAGUCGAGCGGCAGCGGGAGGAAGCUUGCUUCCUCGCCGGCGAGCGGCGGACGGGUGAGUAAUGUCUGGGGAUCUGCCCGAUGGAGGGGGAUAACCACUGGAAACGGUGGCUAAUACCGCAUAACGUCGCAAGACCAAAGUGGGGGACCUUAGGGCCUCACACCAUCGGAUGAACCCAGAUGGGAUUAGCUAGUAGGUGGGGUAAUGGCUCACCUAGGCGACGAUCCCUAGCUGGUCUGAGAGGAUGACCAGCCACACUGGAACUGAGACACGGUCCAGACUCCUACGGGAGGCAGCAGUGGGGAAUAUUGCACAAUGGGCGCAAGCCUGAUGCAGCCAUGCCGCGUGUGUGAAGAAGGCCUUCGGGUUGUAAAGCACUUUCAGCGAGGAGGAAGGUGGUGAGCUUAAUACGUUCAUCCAUUGACGUUACUCGCAGAAGAAGCACCGGCUAACUCCGUGCCAGCAGCCGCGGUAAUACGGAGGGUGCAAGCGUUAAUCGGAAUUACUGGGCGUAAAGCGCACGCAGGCGGUUUGUUAAGUCAGAUGUGAAAUCCCCGAGCUUAACUUGGGAACUGCAUUUGAAACUGGCAAGCUAGAGUCUCGUAGAGGGGGGUAGAAUUCCAGGUGUAGCGGUGAAAUGCGUAGAGAUCUGGAGGAAUACCGGUGGCGAAGGCGGCCCCCUGGACGAAGACUGACGCUCAGGUGCGAAAGCGUGGGGAGCAAACAGGAUUAGAUACCCUGGUAGUCCACGCCGUAAACGAUGUCGAUUUGGAGGUUGUGCCCUUGAGGCGUGGCUUCCGGAGCUAACGCGUUAAAUCGACCGCCUGGGGAGUACGGCCGCAAGGUUAAAACUCAAAUGAAUUGACGGGGGCCCGCACAAGCGGUGGAGCAUGUGGUUUAAUUCGAUGCAACGCGAAGAACCUUACCUACUCUUGACAUCCAGAGAACUUUCCAGAGAUGGAUUGGUGCCUUCGGGAACUCUGAGACAGGUGCUGCAUGGCUGUCGUCAGCUCGUGUUGUGAAAUGUUGGGUUAAGUCCCGCAACGAGCGCAACCCUUAUCCUUUGUUGCCAGCGGUUAGGCCGGGAACUCAAAGGAGACUGCCAGUGAUAAACUGGAGGAAGGUGGGGAUGACGUCAAGUCAUCAUGGCCCUUACGAGUAGGGCUACACACGUGCUACAAUGGCGUAUACAAAGAGAAGCGAACCUGCGAAGGCAAGCGGACCUCAUAAAGUACGUCGUAGUCCGGAUUGGAGUCUGCAACUCGACUCCAGGAAGUCGGAAUCGCUAGUAAUCGUAGAUCAGAAUGCUACGGUGAAUACGUUCCCGGGCCUUGUACACACCGCCCGUCACACCAUGGGAGUGGGUUGCAAAAGAAGUAGGUAGCUUAACCUUCGGGAGGGCGCUUACCACUUUGUGAUUCAUGACUGGGGUGAAGUCGUAACAAGGUAACCGUAGGGGAACCUGCGGUUGGAUCACCUCCUUA